UGGGGAAUAUUGGACAAUGGGCGCAAGCCUGAUCCAGCAAUGCCGCGUGUGUGAAGAAGGCCUUCGGGUUGUAAAGCACUUUUUAUCAGGAGCGAAACGCUGUCGGCUAAUACCCGGCGGAACUGACGGUACCUGAGGAAUAAGCACCGGCUAACUUCGUGCCAGCAGCCGCGGUAAUACGAAGGGUGCAAAGCGUUAAUCGGAGUUACUGGGCGUAAAAGCGUGCGUAGGCGGUUUCUUAAGUCUGCUGUGAAAUCCCCGGGCUCAACCUGGGAAUGGCAGUGGAUACUGGGAGGCUAGAGUGUGUCAGAGGGUGGUGGAAUUCCCGGUGUAGCGGUGAAAUGCGUAGAGAUCGGGAGGAACAUCAGUGGCGAAGGCGGCCACCUGGGACAACACUGACGCUGAGGCACGAAAGCGUGGGGAGCAAACAGGAUUAGAUACCCUGGUAGUCCACGCCCUAAAACGAUGCGAACUGGAUGUUGGUCUCAACUCGGAGAUCAGUGUCGAAGCUAACGCGUUAAAGUUCGCCGCCUGGGGGAGUACGGUCGCAAGACUGAAACUC
This 562-nucleotide ribosomal RNA is filed under the name uncultured bacterium. RNAcentral describes it as "partial 16S ribosomal RNA". It matches the Rfam family "Bacterial small subunit ribosomal RNA", at positions 355 to 902 of the family's 1533-position model. The record is from RNAcentral.